CCAAUCUUUCCGCCAAAGGAGAGG
Molecule: non-coding RNA, 24 nt
Filed under: Arabidopsis thaliana (thale cress)
Lineage: Eukaryota; Viridiplantae; Streptophyta; Magnoliopsida; Brassicales; Brassicaceae
Source: RNAcentral